This 236-nucleotide ribosomal RNA is filed under the name uncultured bacterium. RNAcentral's name for it is "partial 16S ribosomal RNA". It matches the Rfam family "Bacterial small subunit ribosomal RNA", at positions 17 to 245 of the family's 1533-position model. The record is from RNAcentral.
ACAUGGCUCAGGAUGAACGCUAGCUACAGGCUUAACACAUGCAAGUCGAGGGGCAGCAUGAACUUAGCUCGCUAAGUUUGAUGGCGACCGGCGCACGGGUGAGUAACACGUAUCCAACCUGCCGAUGACUCGGGGAUAGCCUUUCGAAAGAAAGAUUAAUACCCGAUGGCAUAAUUCUUCCGCAUGGUAGAACUAUUAAAGAAUUUCGGUCAUCGAUGGGGAUGCGUUCCAUUAGG